NGACCUCAAAUCAGGUAGGACUACCCGCUGAACUUAAGCAUAUCAAUAAGCGGAGGAAAAGAAACUAACAAGGAUUCCCUCAGUAACUGCGAGUGAAGUGGGAAAAGCUCAAAUUUGAAAUCUGGCAGCUCUUUCAGGUUGUCCGAGUUGUAAUCUAGAGAAGUGUUACCUGU
Molecule: ribosomal RNA, 173 nt
Filed under: Inocybe petiginosa
Lineage: Eukaryota; Fungi; Basidiomycota; Agaricomycetes; Agaricales; Inocybaceae
Description: partial 25S ribosomal RNA
Rfam family: Eukaryotic large subunit ribosomal RNA
Source: RNAcentral